This 547-nucleotide ribosomal RNA is filed under the name Faucicola osloensis. Its description in RNAcentral is "bacterial SSU rRNA". It matches the Rfam family "Bacterial small subunit ribosomal RNA", at positions 380 to 918 of the family's 1533-position model. The record is from RNAcentral. Lineage: Bacteria; Pseudomonadati; Pseudomonadota; Gammaproteobacteria; Moraxellales; Moraxellaceae.
ACCCUGAUCCAGCCAUGCCGCGUGUGUGAAGAAGGCCUUUUGGUUGUAAAGCACUUUAAGCAGGGAGGAGAGGCUAAUGGUUAAUACCCAUUAGAUUAGACGUUACCUGCAGAAUAAGCACCGGCUAACUCUGUGCCAGCAGCCGCGGUAAUACAGAGGGUGCGAGCGUUAAUCGGAAUUACUGGGCGUAAAGCGAGUGUAGGUGGCUCAUUAAGUCACAUGUGAAAUCCCCGGGCUUAACCUGGGAACUGCAUGUGAUACUGGUGGUGCUAGAAUAUGUGAGAGGGAAGUAGAAUUCCAGGUGUAGCGGUGAAAUGCGUAGAGAUCUGGAGGAAUACCGAUGGCGAAGGCAGCUUCCUGGCAUAAUAUUGACACUGAGAUUCGAAAGCGUGGGUAGCAAACAGGAUUAGAUACCCUGGUAGUCCACGCCGUAAACGAUGUCUACUAGCCGUUGGGGUCCUUGAGACUUUAGUGGCGCAGUUAACGCGAUAAGUAGACCGCCUGGGGAGUACGGCCGCAAGGUUAAAACUCAAAUGAAUUGACGGGG